RNAcentral lists this long non-coding RNA (279 nucleotides) under Homo sapiens (human). RNAcentral describes it as "LNC_000163". Lineage: Eukaryota; Metazoa; Chordata; Mammalia; Primates; Hominidae. The record is from RNAcentral.
CUCCCAUGGCCACAGCCAGACUUCGAGCUUCCAAGCUCUGGGGGACCCCCGCGGAGGGGGUGCGGGCAGUCGCGGUUGGACUGCCGACACUGCCGCCUCAGCAGCAGCGACCGCUCCCGGGUUCCAUUGGCCGCCUGCGCUUCCCUGACAGCGGCCGCGGAGGCUGCACCAGGCCCCGGCUGCGGGGCUGCCCGCGGCGCCGCCUGAGGGGGCCUUCAGGCUGCCACAAGUUCGACCGGGCCACACAACCUCUUCUUCCUCCCUCAGUACAACCAAGAC